GAACGGCAGCACGGGCUUCGGCCUGGUGGCGAGUGGCGAACGGGUGAGUAAUACAUCGGAACGUGCCCUGUCGUGGGGGAUAACUAGUCGAAAGAUUAGCUAAUACCGCAUACGACCUGAGGGUGAAAGCGGGGGACCGGUAACGGCCUCGCGCGACAGGAGCGGCCGAUGUCUGAUUAGCUAGUUGGUGGGGUAAGAGCCUACCAAGGCGACGAUCAGUAGCUGGUCUGAGAGGACGAUCAGCCACACUGGGACUGAGACACGGCCCAGACUCCUACGGGAGGCAGCAGUGGGGAAUUUUGGACAAUGGGGGCAACCCUGAUCCAGCAAUGCCGCGUGUGUGAAGAAGGCCUUCGGGUUGUAAAGCACUUUUGUCCGGAAAGAAAUGGCGCUGGUUAAUACCCGGCGUCGAUGACGGUACCGGAAGAAUAAGCACCGGCUAACUACGUGCCAGCAGCCGCGGUAAUACGUAGGGUGCGAGCGUUAAUCGGAAUUACUGGGCGUAAAGCGUGCGCAGGCGGUUUGAUAAGACAGGCGUGAAAUCCCCGAGCUCAACUUGGGAAUGGCGCUUGUGACUGUCAGGCUAGAGUAUGUCAGA
RNAcentral lists this ribosomal RNA (598 nucleotides) under uncultured Cupriavidus sp. RNAcentral describes it as "bacterial SSU rRNA". It matches the Rfam family "Bacterial small subunit ribosomal RNA", at positions 64 to 655 of the family's 1533-position model. The record is from RNAcentral. Lineage: Bacteria; Pseudomonadati; Pseudomonadota; Betaproteobacteria; Burkholderiales; Burkholderiaceae.